GUGUGUUUCUCUUCCUCCUGAAAAUUGCUAUGAAGCUAGAUAACAUGCUAAUGCUGUGUUCUGAACAUAGUUUUACAAGUUUAGUCGACAUAUAAUAUGUAAUUUCGUCGUUUUGGUGCGCACCCACUUGACUUUUGGCUGCAUUUCAACCGAAAUGUGUCGUGUUUGAUCACCGAAAGACACAGACUUCCAAACUAAAGCUGUUUUUGUUCUGCCCGCCUUCACUCUGGUCCCUGUCUCCAGUCCCACGCAUCCUCAUCCUGCUACUUUGCCCUGGAUUCCCCACUCAACUGCUCCCUUGGAUUCCCCUCUGGACCUGCUUAGCCUCCGCACCUAGAUUCCUACAACCCAC
Oncorhynchus tshawytscha (Chinook salmon) is the source of this 352-nucleotide long non-coding RNA. Lineage: Eukaryota; Metazoa; Chordata; Actinopteri; Salmoniformes; Salmonidae. The record is from Ensembl.